UGGGGAAUAUUGGACAAUGGGCGCAAGCCUGAUCCAGCCAUGCCGCGUGUGUGAAGAAGGCCUUUUGGUUGUAAAGCACUUUAAGCGAGGAGGAGGCUACUUGGAUUAAUACUCUAGGAUAGUGGACGUUACUCGCAGAAUAAGCACCGGCUAACUCUGUGCCAGCAGCCGCGGUAAUACAGAGGGUGCGAGCGUUAAUCGGAUUUACUGGGCGUAAAGCGUGCGUAGGCGGCUUUUUAAGUCGGAUGUGAAAUCCCUGAGCUUAACUUAGGAAUUGCAUUCGAUACUGGGAAGCUAGAGUAUGGGAGAGGAUGGUAGAAUUCCAGGUGUAGCGGUGAAAUGCGUAGAGAUCUGGAGGAAUACCGAUGGCGAAGGCAGCCAUCUGGCCUAAUACUGACGCUGUGGUACGAAAGCAUGGGGAGCAAACAGG
RNAcentral lists this ribosomal RNA (430 nucleotides) under Acidobacteriota bacterium. RNAcentral describes it as "Acidobacteria bacterium partial 16S ribosomal RNA". It matches the Rfam family "Bacterial small subunit ribosomal RNA", at positions 355 to 776 of the family's 1533-position model. Lineage: Bacteria; Pseudomonadati; Acidobacteriota. The record is from RNAcentral.